CUGGAGAAUGGGCAGCCCAGUGAGGAAAGAUCAAUGGGAGAAAGGCUUGUAACUUUCUCCCAUUUUCUAGAAAUUUGUGACUUUCUAGAAAACGAAGCCAGUCUCAACAGUGCCUCCAAGGACCUGAAGCUUCUCCAAGUGCUGUUUUGAAUGGGAAGGCAGGAGUCGGAACUGGCCAUCCAGGACUGUCUACAUGGCCUCUCUCUCUUCUCAUCUUCCUCUAAGAAAUUUCUCCAGUUUUUCAAUCUUGACCUCUCAGAAAAAAGAGAUUCUGAUCUUGUGAACUGAUGCUGCAUGUUGAAUGAGUUUUCAUCCUGCAUGAUACUUCAUGGAUUUAUUUGCAUUUUAAUUAUUCUUUUAUACAAAAGAGCCAUAGAAAAGAAAAGUCUGACCCAAGUUUUGUCAAGAUAAAGCAGAGUAUGGGAAGUGGGCAACUGUGAGAACUUGGUUAGAGCCAGUCUGUAUAGUUUAGUAUUUAAUGGGGAAGUUUGGGGUGUGGGAAAUGGGACCUAUUUCCUUUGCUCUUGAGGUUAGGUUGAGCCAUCUGGCUCCCUGCCCUGCAGUUCCCAUAACUGAAGAGUUAUACAUCCCAUAACCCCUGCCCACUAGUGAACCCCUUCCUCAGCUCUGGGACUGAUUGUCUUCAAGCUGAGCACACACUGAGCACUGGGCCUGCCUUCUUCCUAACACAGGUUUUUGUAAGCUCCAGACAUUGGAUAAAGCAUUUUGAGGGAUAGGUGAAAACGAAAUCCUGCCCUUUACUCUUGAGAACUCACUCUGCUGUGGGAGGAGAGACAGGCAGACCUCAGUCUACUGACAGCAUGAACAGAAAGAGAGGGUCUCUUUCUGCUGGUGCUUCGGUUUGAGAACCAGUGCUCCUGACUUUGGUUGGCCAUUGGUGUCUGUCUGAAGAGGGUCUCCACUGCCCCCAGGCAUGUUCCUUCUCUCACUGCUGCCCCCUGGGAUGGAAACUCGACAUCCCCUCUUUCCCUUCCUACUGGCACCAACGGUACCAGAGCAAACCCCACAAUCUCCAUGCCUACAUUUCUUUGACAUCCACCUGUCACCAUCUUUGGAGGAUUCAAGUGAAGUUCUUUGUCUUUUAUGGGACAGAGAUGAUUCUCCACUCCAGAGGGUCUGGAGUGAUUAUAGGAAUGUAAUCGCCUUGAACAAUCAGCGUGUUUUACAGCCUACUGCCCUGCAUUUUGUGUGGAAUGCAGUUGUCUUAUUGCUUGGAACCAGCUCUCAGUAGACCUCAGCAGCUUAUAGACAAACCCGAGUGAACUUUCCUCAUGACCAUGCUAGUGUCUCCAUCCUGGGAUGAGCCACAGCUUCAUCACCAUAACAUGCAACCUAUGUGCUGGUGUGAUGACUCGCUGUGUCUGCACCACUGAGGCUCCUCCUCCACAUGCCAUGACGCGUCCUCUCUUCUCUCCAUCUCCCCAUGAAGUCCUCCUGUCACUUUCCCUCAGGGAGACAUGGCUUUGGAGAGUACUCCCAACAGCAUGCUUAUUUGUGCCAAGUAAUAAAACUCCUGUUGAUCAAACCUACAGUCUCAAGGAGAUUGAUUUCUUACUUGCCAAGCAAAAGAACCUGGGUUUUUUU
This 1605-nucleotide long non-coding RNA is filed under the name Homo sapiens (human). RNAcentral describes it as "HSALNT0400095". The record is from RNAcentral. Lineage: Eukaryota; Metazoa; Chordata; Mammalia; Primates; Hominidae.